CAAUAGCGUAUAUUAUUGAUGUUGCAGUUGAAACGUUCGUAGUCGAAUCUUAUCUGCCAAAGCAUUGUGUCAUUUAUGAUGACAUAAUGCUCUCGGCAGAGAUUGUACAAGCGUUUGCAUGUGUUUCACAUGUCUGACCUUGUAUCUUACUUUGAGUGAAUCGGCGUUAUGGAACUGCUUCCUUGUUUGUUCGGAAGCUCUUUCGAUACUGAUAGGAACGGUUGAGGGCAUUCGUAUUCGACUGCUAGAGGUGAAAUUCUUUGAUUAGUCGAGGACGAACCAUUGCGAAAGCAUCUGCCAAGGACGUUUCCUUUGA
RNAcentral lists this ribosomal RNA (316 nucleotides) under uncultured eukaryote. RNAcentral's name for it is "partial 18S ribosomal RNA". It matches the Rfam family "Eukaryotic small subunit ribosomal RNA", at positions 592 to 976 of the family's 1831-position model. The record is from RNAcentral.